This 67-nucleotide transfer RNA is filed under the name Gyna capucina. Its description in RNAcentral is "tRNA-Glu". The record is from RNAcentral. Lineage: Eukaryota; Metazoa; Arthropoda; Insecta; Blattodea; Blaberidae.
UUUUAUGUAGUUUAACAAAACAUUACAUUUUCAAUGUAAAGAUAUUAUAUUAUAUUAAUCAUAAAUU